Molecule: long non-coding RNA, 398 nt
Organism: Camelina sativa (false flax)
Lineage: Eukaryota; Viridiplantae; Streptophyta; Magnoliopsida; Brassicales; Brassicaceae
Source: RefSeq, a predicted model, not a curated record
CCACGCCAUGGGAGCAGUUCCAUUUACCUUCCAUCAAAUCAUCGAAAUAUCCGCAUAAGACGAGGAGGAAAUUUGGCCCUGCAAGACGAUCGAUCCACCAAAGCACAAUGAACUCCUGAGUAGGGACGAGGACCAAGCUGGCAAAACUAGCAAAGACGAAGAAGCCUGCUCAAGUCUCUGUCCUGCAGGUUCUAUGUGAUCAGUUGUAUAAUUCCUUUGGUUCACGGAGAAGGUUUGUUGCUCCGUAAUUUUGAGUCUCAUCUGUUCAUAUACCUUUAGUUGGUAGUAUGAUUUUGAUGAUAAAAAAUAAAUUCUGGUUUUUAGCAUCUCAGUUAAUUGUGUUACAAGUUUUGAGUUUUUUUUUAAAUUUAAAUUUUUAGAACCUCCUAGUUCUACCA